Molecule: long non-coding RNA, 311 nt
Organism: Melanotaenia boesemani (Boeseman's rainbowfish)
Lineage: Eukaryota; Metazoa; Chordata; Actinopteri; Atheriniformes; Melanotaeniidae
Exons: 2
Source: RefSeq, a predicted model, not a curated record
CUGCCUCUCGCGCCGAGCCGACUUUCGUGUGUGUGGUCUGAGAGCUUGGAGUGGUGGUGCCUCUGCGGUGCGGGUCCCCGGUUUAGUUUAAUCCUCCCCUCAUCUGCAUGCUGAUCACGUUUGCCUGUGCUGUGGGACUGAAGUGCGGUGUGAAGUGUGUUUGUCUUGCAUGUGUGCCUGGGGUGGCCUUUGUUUGGAUCCCCUCACCUCAUUUAGCCCACCUAUCUCCUGGUAAGCCUCAGCCAUCUUUUAUUUUUGAAUCGUGGGUUUUGUUUUGUUGAUUUUAAAUAAAGAUUGUUUAAUUGAUUGGA